UAUGCUUAGCCUUAAACCCAGAUGUACUCUUACAUUUACAUCCGCCAGGGAACUACAAGCACAGCUUAAAACCCAAAGGACUUGGCGGUGUCUCAGACCCACCUAGAGGAGCCUGUUCUAGAACCGAUACCCCCCGUUAAACCUUACCACUUCUUGUUUUCCCCGCCUAUAUACCGCCGUCGUCAGCUUACCCUGUGAAGGCCCAAUAGUAAGCAAAAUGGGUCCAUCCAAAAACGUCAGGUCGAGGUGUAGCGUACGAAGUGGAAAGAAAUGGGCUACAUUUUCUAUAAUAAUAGAAUAUUACGGACGGCACCCUGAAACCAGUGCCCAAAGGUGGAUUUAGUAGUAAAAAAUAAAUAGAGAGUAUUUUUGAAUUAGGCUCUGAGACGC
Molecule: ribosomal RNA, 390 nt
Filed under: Bagre aff. marinus INVEMAR-PEC 5336
Lineage: Eukaryota; Metazoa; Chordata; Actinopteri; Siluriformes; Ariidae
Description: partial 12S ribosomal RNA
Rfam family: Bacterial small subunit ribosomal RNA
Source: RNAcentral